This 329-nucleotide ribosomal RNA is filed under the name uncultured eukaryote. RNAcentral's name for it is "partial 18S ribosomal RNA". It matches the Rfam family "Eukaryotic small subunit ribosomal RNA", at positions 1470 to 1796 of the family's 1831-position model. The record is from RNAcentral.
CCCUUAGAUGUUCUGGGCUGCACGCGCGCUACACUGAUGCACUCAACGAGUUUACGAGCUUGUCCGAGAGGAUUGGCUAAUCUUUUUAAAAUGCAUCGUGAUGGGGAUAGAUUAUUGCAAUUAUUAAUCUUCAACGAGGAAUUCCUAGUAAGCGCGAGUCAUCAGCUCGUGCUGAUUACGUCCCUGCCCUUUGUACACACCGCCCGUUGGUCCUACCGAUUGAGUGUGUUGGUGAGGAGUUCGGAUUGGCAGCAGGUGGUGGUUCGCCACCGCCUAUUGCUGAGAAGUUCUCCAAACCGCCCCACUUAGAGGAAGGAGAANUCGUAACA